CCUACGGGCGGCAGCAGUGGGGAAUAUUGGACAAUGGGGGGAACCCUGAUCCAGCCAUGCCGCGUGUGUGAAGAAGGCCCUCGGGUUGUAAAGCACUUUCAGUGAGGAAGAACGCCUGGUGGUUAAUACCCAUCAGGAAAGACAUCACUCACAGAAGAAGCACCGGCUAACUCCGUGCCAGCAGCCGCGGUAAUACGGAGGGUGCGAGCGUUAAUCGGAAUUACUGGGCGUAAAGCGCGCGUAGGUGGCUUGAUAAGCCGGUUGUGAAAGCCCCGGGCUCAACCUGGGAACGGCAUCCGGAACUGUCAAGCUAGAGUGCAGGAGAGGAAGGUAGAAUUCCCGGUGUAGCGGUGAAAUGCGUAGAGAUCGGGAGGAAUACCAGUGGCGAAGGCGGCCUUCUGGACUGAAACUGACACUGAGGUGCGAAAGCGUGGGUAGCAAACAGGAUUAGAUACCCUAGUAGUC
RNAcentral lists this ribosomal RNA (465 nucleotides) under Vreelandella stevensii. Its description in RNAcentral is "partial 16S ribosomal RNA". It matches the Rfam family "Bacterial small subunit ribosomal RNA", at positions 338 to 795 of the family's 1533-position model. The record is from RNAcentral. Lineage: Bacteria; Pseudomonadati; Pseudomonadota; Gammaproteobacteria; Oceanospirillales; Halomonadaceae.